This is a non-coding RNA of Lupinus albus (white lupine), 360 nucleotides long. NCBI's taxonomy places the organism in Eukaryota, Viridiplantae, Streptophyta, Magnoliopsida, Fabales, Fabaceae. The record is from the annotation of a GenBank genome assembly.
AUUUCAAGUGAUGAGAAAAAAAUAACUGCAACAAUAUGAUUGGAAUUCCAUUCCAAUGAUUCUUCUGUAUUUAAGUCUCUGAUGAUCCUUUCAUAUAUUUCUAGAUAAGUUUCUUUAUUCUCUUCACAUGUUUUCUACCUUAUUUUUAUGUUUAUGUGAAAAACUAAGUUUAUAAGAGAUAUGAUGAAUUUUUCAUUGGUCCGUGUUUCUGAUUAACCGUGACCGAAAACCUUUUUCCAAUUUCUGAUCUCUUUUUAUAAUUUUGAUUCUGCUUUGAUGAUUUAAGAACAAAUUCACAUGUCAGACUUCAGAGAUUUUAAAAAAUCAAUGAGAAUGACAAUUCUAAAUUCUGAGCAGAAU